AUUGAACGCUGGCGGAAUGCUUUACACAUGCAAGUCGAACGGCAGCACGGGGCAACCUGGUGGCGAGUGGCGAACGGGUGAGUAAUACAUCGGAACGUGCCCAAUCGUGGGGGAUAACGUAGCGAAAGUUACGCUAAUACCGCAUACGAUCUACGGAUGAAAGCGGGGGAUCGCAAGACCUCGCGCGAAUGGAGCGGCCGAUGUCAGAUUAGGUAGUUGGUGGGGUAAAGGCUCACCAAGCCAACGAUCUGUAGCUGGUCUGAGAGGACGACCAGCCACACUGGAACUGAGACACGGUCCAGACUCCUACGGGAGGCAGCAGUGGGGAAUUUUGGACAAUGGGCGCAAGCCUGAUCCAGCCAUUCCGCGUGCAGGAUGAAGGCCUUCGGUUGUAAACUGCUUUGUACGGAACGAAACGGACGAGCUCUAAUACAGUUUGCUAAUGACGGUCCGUAAGAAUAAGACACCGGACUAACUACGUGCCAGCAGCCGCGGUAAU
RNAcentral lists this ribosomal RNA (499 nucleotides) under uncultured bacterium. RNAcentral describes it as "bacterial SSU rRNA". It matches the Rfam family "Bacterial small subunit ribosomal RNA", at positions 30 to 524 of the family's 1533-position model. The record is from RNAcentral.